Molecule: long non-coding RNA, 127 nt
Organism: Coregonus clupeaformis (lake whitefish)
Lineage: Eukaryota; Metazoa; Chordata; Actinopteri; Salmoniformes; Salmonidae
Exons: 3
Source: RefSeq, a predicted model, not a curated record
CCGGAGCCGAGGAGAAGAGCGGGAGACCGGAGGGUAACACUCAGCUCUGCACAAAUGAGUUGUGAAUGUUGCUGCAACAAAUAUGACUUGGCACUUGAUGGCAGCUGAAGCCCCACAAAACAUGAUC